AUUGAACGCUGGCGGCAGGCCUAACACAUGCAAGUCGAACGGUAACAGGAAACAGCUUGCUGUUUCGCUGACGAGUGGCGGACGGGUGAGUAAUGUCUGGGAAACUGCCUGAUGGAGGGGGAUAACUACUGGAAACGGUAGCUAAUACCGCAUAACGUCGCAAGACCAAAGAGGGGGACCUUCGGGCCCCUUGCCAUCGUAUGUGCCCAGAUGGGAUUAGCUAGUAGGUGGGGUAACGGCUCACCUAGGCGACGAUCCCUAGCUGGUCUGAGAGGAUGACCAGCCACACUGGAACUGAGACACGGUCCAGACUCCUACGGGAGGCAGCAGUGGGGAAUAUUGCACAAUGGGCGCAAGCCUGAUGCAGCCAUGCCGCGUGUAUGAAGAAGGCCUUCGGGUUGUAAAGUACUUUCAGCGGGGAGGAAGGGAGUAAAGUUAAUACCUUUACUCAUUGACGUUACCCGCAGAAGAAGCACCGGCUAACUCCGUG
Molecule: ribosomal RNA, 490 nt
Filed under: uncultured bacterium
Lineage: Bacteria
Description: partial 16S ribosomal RNA
Rfam family: Bacterial small subunit ribosomal RNA
Source: RNAcentral